Molecule: ribosomal RNA, 730 nt
Filed under: uncultured organism
Description: bacterial SSU rRNA
Rfam family: Bacterial small subunit ribosomal RNA
Source: RNAcentral
CUAGGGUAGCGAACGGGAUUAGAAACCCCGGUAGUCCUAGCCGUAAACGAUGGAUACUAGGUGUAGGAGGUUAAAAUUCCUUCUGUGCCGGAGCUAACGCGUUAAGUAUCCCGCCUGGGGAGUACGGUCGCAAGGCUAAAACUCAAAGGAAUUGACGGGGGCCCGCACAAGCAGCGGAGCGUGUGGUUUAAUUCGAUGCAACGCGAAGAACCUUACCAGGGCUUGACAUGUAGGUAGUAGUGAAGCGAAAGCGGAACGAUCCUUCGGGAAGCCUACACAGGUGCUGCACGGCUGUCGUCAGCUCGUGCCGUGAGGUGUUAGGUUAAGUCCUGUAACGAGCGCAACCCCUGCCGUUAGUUACAAGUGUCUAACGGGACUGCCCGGCAAAACUGGGAGGAAGGUGGGGAUGACGUCAAGUCAGCAUGGCCUUUAUGUCCUGGGCUACACACACGCUACAAUGGCCGGUACAAUGGGUUGCCAAGCCGCGAGGCGGAGCCAAUCCUCUAAAGCCGGUCUCAGUUCGAAUUGUAGGCUGCAACCCGCCUGCAUGAAGUUGGAGUUGCUAGUAACCGCAGGUCAGCCACACUGCGGUGAAUACGUUCCCGGGCCUUGUACACACCGCCCGUCACGUCAUGGAAGCUGGUAACACCUGAAGCCGGUGAGCUAACCGCAAGGAAGCAACCGUCGAAGGUGGGACUGGUGACUGGGACGAAGUCGUAACAAGGUAACC